UACGUAGGGGGCGAGCGUUGUCCGGAUUUAUUGGGCGUAAAGCGCGCGCAGGCGGCCCGGUCCGUCAUCCGUGAAAUCCCCCGGCUCAACCGGGGGGGGACGGGUGAGACCGCCGGGCUGGAGGGCGGAAGGGGGAAGCGGAAUUCCCGGUGUAGUGGUGGAAUGCGUAGAUAUCGGGAGGAACACCAGUGGCGAAGGCGGCUUCCUGGUCCGCGACUGACGCUGAGGCGCGAAAGCGUGGGGAGCGAUCCGG
This 253-nucleotide ribosomal RNA is filed under the name uncultured bacterium. RNAcentral describes it as "partial 16S ribosomal RNA". It matches the Rfam family "Bacterial small subunit ribosomal RNA", at positions 524 to 776 of the family's 1533-position model. The record is from RNAcentral.